GUGGGGAAUAUUGCACAAUGGGCGCAAGCCUGAUGCAGCAACGCCGCGUGAGGGACGACGGCCUUCGGGUUGUAAACCUCUUUUAGCAGGGAAGAAGCGAAAGUGACGGUACCUGCAGAAAAAGCACCGGCUAACUACGUGCCAGCAGCCGCGGUAAUACGUAGGGUGCAAGCGUUGUCCGGAAUUAUUGGGCGUAAAGAGCUCGUAGGCGGUUUGUCGCGUCUGCUGUGAAAACCCGAGGCUCAACCUCGGGCCUGCAGUGGGUACGGGCAGACUAGAGUGCGGUAGGGGAGAUUGGAAUUCCUGGUGUAGCGGUGGAAUGCGCAGAUAUCAGGAGGAACACCGAUGGCGAAGGCAGAUCUCUGGGCCGUAACUGACGCUGAGGAGCGAAAGCGUGGGGAGCGAACAGGAUUAGAAACCCGUGUAGUCC
Molecule: ribosomal RNA, 430 nt
Filed under: uncultured bacterium
Lineage: Bacteria
Description: bacterial SSU rRNA
Rfam family: Bacterial small subunit ribosomal RNA
Source: RNAcentral